UACGUAGGGGGCGAGCGUUGUCCGGAUUUAUUGGGCGUAAAGAGCGUGUAGGCGGCCAGGUAGGUCUGCUGUGAAAACUCGAGGCUCAACCUCGAGACGUCGGCGGAAACCAUCUGGCUAGAGUCCGGAAGAGGAGAGUGGAAUUCCUGGUGUAGCGGUGGAAUGCGCAGAUAUCAGGAGGAACACCGGUGGCGAAGGCGCCACUCUGGGCCGGUACUGACGCUGAGGAGCGAAAGCGUGGGGAGCGAACAGG
RNAcentral lists this ribosomal RNA (253 nucleotides) under uncultured bacterium. RNAcentral's name for it is "partial 16S ribosomal RNA". It matches the Rfam family "Bacterial small subunit ribosomal RNA", at positions 524 to 776 of the family's 1533-position model. The record is from RNAcentral.